AUUGAACGCUGGCGGCAGGCCUAACACAUGCAGGUCGAACGGUAACAGGAAGCAGCUUGCUGCUUUGCUGACGAGUGGCGGACGGGUGAGUAAUGUCUGGGAAACUGCCUGAUGGAGGGGGAUAACUACUGGAAACGGUAGCUAAUACCGCAUAACGUCGCAAGACCAAAGAGGGGGACCUUCGGGCCUCUUGCCAUCGGAUGUGCCCAGAUGGGAUUAGCUAGUAGGUGGGGUAACGGCUCACCUAGGCGACGAUCCCUAGCUGGUCUGAGAGGAUGACCAGCCACACUGGAACUGAGACACGGUCCAGACUCCUACGGGAGGCAGCAGUGGGGAAUAUUGCACAAUGGGCGCAAGCCUGAUGCAGCCAUGCCGCGUGUAUGAAGAAGGCCUUCGGGUUGUAAAGUACUUUCAGCGGGGAGGAAGGGAGUAAAGUUAAUACCUUUGCUCAUUGACGUACCCGCAGAAGAGC
This 472-nucleotide ribosomal RNA is filed under the name Escherichia coli. RNAcentral describes it as "bacterial SSU rRNA". It matches the Rfam family "Bacterial small subunit ribosomal RNA", at positions 30 to 490 of the family's 1533-position model. Lineage: Bacteria; Pseudomonadati; Pseudomonadota; Gammaproteobacteria; Enterobacterales; Enterobacteriaceae. The record is from RNAcentral.